AUCCAGCUGACGAGUUCAAGAUAGGACGAAACGCGCUUCCUAGAU
Molecule: non-coding RNA, 45 nt
Filed under: Schistosoma mattheei
Lineage: Eukaryota; Metazoa; Platyhelminthes; Trematoda; Strigeidida; Schistosomatidae
Source: RNAcentral